Non-coding RNA from Paramisgurnus dabryanus, 2063 nucleotides. Lineage: Eukaryota; Metazoa; Chordata; Actinopteri; Cypriniformes; Cobitidae. The record is from the annotation of a RefSeq genome assembly.
GCUUUUGACUACUGGGGAAAAGGAACCAUGGUCACUGUAUCCUCAGCUGAGGCAAAAGCACCACAGUAUGUCUUUGGCCUUUCUGAAUGUGGUUCCGGUUCUGAUGGCUUCCAGACUGUCGGCUGCAUUGCAAAAGGUUUCUCGCCCGCGGACUCGCUCACAUUCAAAUGGACAGAUCCUAAAGGACAACCGGUGAAUGAUUUUGUACAGUAUCAAACAAUCGGACAGGAGGGAGAUUACACCAAAAUCAGCCAUCUGCGUGUGAAGAAAAGCGGUUUUACUCCUGAUAAACCUUACAAAUGCGAAGCUAAAAAUUCUGUCGACAAAAAGGAAGCAAUUGUUGUUCUAGCAUCCCCACAGCCAGAUCAGCGUGCAUCUGUGUACUUAACAACUCCUACAAAUGAAUUAGAAAGUGGAACAGCUACUUUCAUCUGUGUAGCCAAGCACUUUUUCCCAGAAAAGCACUCGUUUAAGUGGUUUCAUGGUGAUGUGGAGGUAAAAAGUGAAGGAAAAAGUGAUGAAUGUGUAGGUAAGAAGAAAACCAAUGUAACUCUAUUUACCGCCACAAGCAUUUUGCAAUUACAAUCUGACAUUUGGACCAAGCCUGGAAACAAAAUUAAGUGUGUGUUCGAGCACAAGGCUGGAAAUGAAGUGAAAGAAAUUAGUUACACAGCAACACUCUCGCUGACCCUGAAGCCACCAAUACAGAGAAACAUAUUCCUCUUCAGUGAUGUGAUCUUGCAGGCUGUUGUUUCUGGAAAUGAAAACAAAGCAGUGGAAAAUGCCUCUGUGUCAUGUGAAGUGGAACAUAAAGCUUUAACCUUAAGUAAAGCUGUAAUACAAUCACAAGACAAUUCACAGUUUCAAAAAAUCCACAAUGUCACUGUUAAUAGAGAUAUAUGGUUUGAUGGGAAAAUGGUCAUCUGUACUACCAGUGACAAAAAAAUAACGCAGAAGAUCAGUUUUAAUAAAGGAGAUUCAAAGAAACCCAGUCUUGUCAUUUAUGAACGCAGUGACAAUACAAGCCCUUCAAAACACUCUCUGUUAUGUGAGGUCAGCAGUCCUCAACUUGGUGAUGUUUAUAUCAUGUGGAAAGAAGGUAAUGAAGAAAAAUAUAAAGAGGGUUAUACCAGUGCUCCAAUCCAUCGAAAGGACUCCAUAUCUGUCAUCAGCUUAUUUGAAGUGUCUGAUGAACAACACAAAGAAUCUACGGUCUCUUGCGCAGUCAUGCAUGCCAACAUGGACAAUACAAGAUCACCAUUAAUAAUAACAACAAGCAAAAAUGAGCCUCCAGAACCCGAGAGAGGCUUUGCAUUACACUGUAAUAAAGAAGUUUCUGAGGAGGAUGAGUUCAGAAGUCUCUGGUCUACUGCCACCUCAUUCAUCUUCCUCUUCCUCUUUUCUCUGACCUACAGCGCUCUUAUCAGCCUAUCUAAGAUGAAGCAGUGAAAAUAUUAAGAAAAGAAAAUGAAGACUCAAAGGAUUUUUUUUUGUCAUCAUUAUGUAAAAUUGAGAUUGCUGAAAUGACAUUAUUUUUUUUUUUUUUUGAGAUAUAGACAAUUAUGCAGUCAUAAUUAAUUGAUCCACAUGUGAAGGUUUUGUUUAAGAAGUAGAAUAGUUUUGUUUAAUGUAAAAAAUAUUCAAAUCAUUUCAGAUCUUUCAGUUGUUUAGUGUAAAAACAGAAAAUGUGUACAAAUAAAAUAUUUCAUAUAAAAGCUGUAACAGAAAUUUACUUUAUCUAAUCCCUAUUCUAUAAAACCUUUUACUGUUUGUACACAAUGAUGACGUGACACCGUAUGUGCACGCAUUUUGGCAAUGGAAGUAAGGCAAGAAUCAGCAGUGAAGCACAAACACAGAGACAGUUAUUUUAAAAAGUUGACUUAUCAACUUUUUCAACAGCUACAAGAUCCAUGCACUGUAGUGGAGUGGAUAGAAGACGUUAGCAGAUGGCCAAAUAUAAAGUGGUUAUAGACGGUUUCAUUGGACGCACAUGAGCUGACGCGAUACACGUCUGGAUUCGAACUUUACUUCCGGUUUCGGUUUUUUUAUGGUCUGAUUAGUUG